This 442-nucleotide ribosomal RNA is filed under the name uncultured bacterium. RNAcentral describes it as "partial 16S ribosomal RNA". It matches the Rfam family "Bacterial small subunit ribosomal RNA", at positions 338 to 795 of the family's 1533-position model. The record is from RNAcentral.
ACUACGGGGGGCAGCAGUGGGGAAUAUUGGGCAAUGGGCGCAAGCCUGACCCAGCAACGCCGCGUGAAGGAAGAAGGCUUUCGGAUCGUAAACUUCUUUUGACAGGGAAGAGCAGAAGACGGUACCUGUCGAAUAAGCCACGGCUAACUACGUGCCAGCAGCCGCGGUAAUACGUAGGUGGCAAGCGUUGUCCGGAUUUACUGGGUGUAAAGGGCGUGUAGCCGGGCUGACAAGUCAGAUGUGAAAUCCGGGGGCUCAACCCCCGAACUGCAUGUGAAACUGUUGGUCUUGAGUAGCGGAGAGGCAGGCGGAAUUCCUAGUGUAGCGGUGAAAUGCGUAGAUAUUAGGAGGAACACCAGUGGCGAAGGCGGCCUGCUGGACGACAACUGACGGUGAGGCGCGAAAGCGUGGGGAGCAAACAGGAUUAGAUACCCCUGUAGUC